Molecule: long non-coding RNA, 7153 nt
Organism: Anopheles gambiae (African malaria mosquito)
Lineage: Eukaryota; Metazoa; Arthropoda; Insecta; Diptera; Culicidae
Exons: 2
Source: RefSeq, a predicted model, not a curated record
UGAUGAUGAUAAUUUUUGAGACAUACUGUACAUGGUCACGUACAUGGCGCCUCCAUUUCUUAUGUCAAAAAGUUCGUCAAGCUUCGUGUGUAUUUUGUGUGGAUGACAACAAAACCAAGCGUCUGCGAUAAUUUCUAUCAGCUAUCGUUUAAUUUGUGUACCAUCAUGCUUUUACAACAGCAUUUCCGAUUCAGAUAGCGUUUGGACAUCAUGUUUUCCGUCCACGGCUGCAGCUUCCCUCCAUGCUAAAUUGAUGGAAGAACAGUGGCGCGUUAAACGGUGGGCGGACUGGGCGGCCGCCAGGGGCCCCGUCGAUCUAGGGGGCCCCGUCAUUGUGGAUGUUCGACUUCGUACCGAUUCUACCCCCCCCCCCCCCCCCUCUGGAUGGGACUUUUACCAUCUAUUUCAAAAAGACACAUUUUUUAUUAAUUCAUUUUUCCCAUCGCUUUACUCACUGUAUUUUGUCGAGGGCCCCGAACUGCUGAAAACCGGGGCCCAUACUACUCAAAGCAGCACAUUAAAUGUUCUAAGAAAUCUGCCAAUACUUGCAUCAAAGCUGCGCUGCGACACGCGCGCACAGCUCAAAUCAAUACCUCAUCAUCGUUGGCGCAAAGUAUUGGACAGAGCGAGAAACCGUCAAUUUUUGCUGGUGUGGGUGGCCUGUGCACGAGACACCCAAACCCAGAACCACGCAGAGCAACUUGCUGCUAAAAUGGAAUGCACAGAACGCUGCGCUUAACUACCACCGAAAACCCGUUACACAACACAAGCAUACAACACACCCAAACCAAAAGUUUAAAGGCCCCGAAACACUAUAUCAAUACACCGGCUCGUAGCCGGUAAAAUUAGCAGGAAAAACUGACUAACAUCAAGCAAGCAACGGUGCUCCAGUGGGUAGAGGUUUCAUUCGAGAAACGAUUCCAUCGAUAUCGAUGUGUGCGCUUUUCAAUUUGGCUUGGAUGAAACGUGCCUGUGUUUGUCUGGGGGCCCCCUAUACUUGUUUUGAAGAUGUGUGCCGAAAACAGAUAGCUGUUUUCACGCGAAAAAUGGUAUUCACAUCUCAAGCCUGAGAUCGUGGAGCGUGCCUGCUUUUAACGCAAAACCUUAAAUUUCCACGCGGGGCCUUACUCAACUUUUGUGGUCAACUGACAAAUAGGGGAAAUCGGGAAGGGGUGGUAUUUAUAUGUCCAAAAAGAAACUGUGCCAUGUUAAUAUUAAAAUGAUGUUUUAUCACUAUUUACAUACAACUUUUUGCGUGAAGACAAGAUAAAAAACCGUUACAGCUAUGCUGAAACUAAAACUCAAAGGUGGUUUACGAGGCCCCAACUAUUAUGUGGACUCUUCGAUGAAGGGGCCCCUUCGGUAAGGGCCCCCGUCGGUAAGGAGGCCCCGUCGAUAAGGGGCCCCGUCUAUAAGGGGCCCCGUCAAUGAAGGGCCCGUCCAUUUGGUGUCUUGGUGUGGAUGGUCGAUGCACGAGCUCACCAAAAAAACGCGGAGACACUUGCUGCUAAAAUCCAAUGCACAGCACACAGAACAGAACGCUGCGUUUAACCACAAAGAAAACCCGUUUCAACAGCCACAAGCACACAUCAUACACAGUCAAAAAUUUAAAGGCCCCUAAACAAAAUUUCAAUACACCGGCUCGUAGCCGGAGAAAUUAGCAGGAAAAAAUGACACCAAGCUCGCGUCGCUUUAAAAAGCCUAGGAAGGUCGUUUGGUCAACGGUGGGUUCAGUGGGUUGAGGUUUCAUUCGAGGAAUGGUUAAAUCGAUGUCAUUGUGUGCGCUCUUGGUUGGGAUGAACCGUCCUGUACUUGUAUACGGGGCCCCUGCUACCGCUUUGCGAUUCUGUGCCAAAAGCAGACAGCUGUUUCACACGAAAAAUGGUAUUCACAUUCCUGGCCUGGGAUAGUGGAUUGUGUGUGUCUUUUAAUGCAAAAACUAAAAUUUUCAUUCUUGGCCCUAAUCGAACACAUCCAGUUUGUGGACCGAAGAGAAGGGGAAAUGGGAAAGGUUUCAGUUAGAAGAAAGGGGGGAAGGGUAUAAAAAUACUCAAGGAACCUAUGGAACAUGUUCAUUUAUAUAUGGUUUUUAUCGACUAUUUCAAGUUUUGCGAAUACAACAAGACCAAAAACCGUUACAGAUGCAUCUACAUACAGCCAUACACAGCCAUAAUACGAAGAACAAUCUCCAUUGCCGCGUCCAUUUGGGGCCCCGUUGAUGAUCCCGUCGAUUGAGGGGCCCCUUCUAUUUGGUGUUGUCAACCCAAUAUAUCUCCAUUUUCCCCCCGGGGGUUAUGUUUACAAUCAGAUUUACUAUUACUACCAGACCUAUCAGAAGUAUAUUUAUUUUAUUUAUCAUAAGCAUUUUACUAUCAGAAGCAGAAAACAUUUGCCUUUUUAACAUGUGCAAUAUUUUUGUUUAACACGUGCACCUAAUUUGGAAGCGUAGAACGCUGCGAUACAUGCCCACAGCUCAAAACAAUAUCAUUUCAUCAUCGUUGGCCCAAUGCAUUGAACGUUACGCGCGAGUUGGGUAAAGCGAAAUCCGUUACAAGAGAUGCCUCACGCAAACUACUUGCACAUACGACAUUAAAAGGCUCCGAAACCGAUCUCAACACAACGGUUCGUAACCGGUGAAAUUAGCAAGAAAAAUUGGCUGACACCAAGCACGCUCUUUUUAUCUGUUGAGGUUUCAUUCAAGAAUCGAUUCCGAUGUCGAUGUGUGCGCUUUUUAAUUUGGCCUGUGUCUAUGUUAUCACGCAAAAACUAAGAACUCGUGCCCCUGCUAUUUUUUGGGGACUGGACGAAGUGAUGGUGGAAAAGCAAGCUGUUGAAGGGUUUGGGUCAAAUUUGGAAGGGUCGGCGGAAAGGAAAUAUCGAUAUGAAUGAUCGCGUAAAAUUUGACGGUAGCGGUCGGCAAAGUCCGGCCCGCCACAAUAUGCAGUCAGGCCCGAGAAAAUAUUUGCGCGAUUUUGAAAGAUAGGAAGAUCCUAUUCAUUACAAAUUAACUGAACAUAUUUUAAUAUGACAAUUCAUAUCGUUGAACUAUUCCAAAUUUGAUCACCAUAACAUGGAUUGUCGGACCAAUCAAUAUGGUCAAAUUUGAGGAGAAAUUAGAAAAUAGAAACGAAUAAUUCCAUAAAAACCUGACUGUUGAUUUUACGAGAACAAUGGUUACACACUAUUGCUUUUUAAGGAUGCAACGAUUUUCUUGGAGUUUUUUUUUUUAAGAAAUGCACUAUCAAUUGGUCUGACCUGGCCUUACUUGUCCGUGGCCUCAUAAUAGUACUGAACGAUUGUACGAUUGUCUCGAUAAUUUUUCAGCUGUUAAGGUUUUUGUACCAUCUUCAGAUAUAUCCUGAAAACAUUUUGCAACAUGGAAGGAAGGGUACAUUCAGAAGCAAUAUUGCGAUUUUGCUUAAUUGUUUUGAACUUUUUAUGACUUUUGCACAGUAUGCUGCAGACUCUUAAUUGAAGAAUCUUUACAAUCAAUUUUAGUUAUUUAAUAAAAUGAAUUUGAAACUUGCUUGGAUGAUAUAAUAAUUUAAGAAAACCAAUAACCAAUCGCAUUGUUUAAUAUCAUAAACCAGUUAUUUGGGUAUUAACUGUAAUAAUAUAAUAAUAUAUGUGUAAAAAAAUGCAUUCUCCUGGCCCUCACCGCUCGAUCAUUUAGAAAGCAGCUGAUCUAAAGCAGUGGUCUCCAACCUGUGGUCCGUGGAUUACUUGAGACAAACAUACUGCAAUACAAGGUAUUUCCAGUUACUUUCGAAUGAAAAUAUUGUUUUUCCCGCGAGCAACAAGUUAUCGCUCUGACCGAUUGAAAAUGAAGUGGCCGUAAUUCGAAGCAAGACGGUACUUCAGUAUUCAUUGUAAAGGUAAACACCAACGUAAAAGCAAAAUAUUGUUUUCAUGUUAUGCUCACGAUGACGAUUUUAAAUCAAAUCGUCCGUAUUAUGAAACACGAGCUAGAAACUGUAAAGUAGGAAAGAAAAUAUCGUUUAGAACCAUCGUUCUUGUCAAUAAAAGACAAAUGUAACUAGCUUAGCGAAAACGAUAACUUUACGACCUUUAACUUCUUUUGAGUAUAGAUAAAACCAACUCCGAUCAUGGCAGGUCAGAUUUGUUCGGAUUGUCAGGAUAGGACUAAGCCCAUCCAUCAUCUAUCGACUUCUCAUUUAAGGAGUUUAGUUAUGUCCUCCUACACAAGGUAAUCCCUCUAAACUCCAACGUCCUAAAGGUUUUUAUGAUCGCCUAGACGAUCAAGUGUCGAAAGUCCGCUUCGAAACAGUAUCCACAGUACCCAAAAUUUGAACAUACCACAAAGCCUUUCUGAUAUUACUGAUUGUUUAGUCAUUGAUAUCGAUUAAAAACUGGCGAAAAAAAGUAUUGAAAUUGGGGUUUUUAUUGAUGCGCGGGUGGCAGUCCAUGCUGCUCUUGUUCAUCUCUGUUUCAUAAAGAUUUAUACAGAUGUGAACUGUAUUUUGUCGAAGCAAGUUUGUUGAUUUGGUACGCACUCACGGUUAUCAUGAAAUUUCAGCAAGAACAGCAAAGUGGUGUGAAGAUUUUUCUCAACCAAAACGUUAAUCCCGCAAGCCGAAUACGCACCUAAAGGCCGGGCUACAUUGAUCGUACUCGCAAGCGUAAUUUUGAUUUUCACUAGCGCAUCUGGCGGCGGCUGGUGGAAGCUUUUUUUGGUCAUCGAGGGAAUGGACCUGCCGGAUCUCAAAAUUUAGUAGUUUUUCCAUCGUUUUCCAUUGCAAAAAUGGAUGCAAUGCGUGCAAGACAUGUGUAUCUACGUUUUACAAAACUUUUCUCCUCCGAUUUAAGUAAACAAACAUGGAAAAUUAACGUAUUUUCUGGAGCGGCUCCAAAUUGUUUGGCAAAAUGCUUCGGUCAGCCGCCGCCAGAUGCGCUAGUGAAAAUUGAAAUUACACCAAAGAGUACGAUCAAUGUAGCCCGGCCUUAAAAUUUAUCGGGGUGUAAGCGGUUACCAAAUCAAAUGUUUGUUCAUCACGAGCAAGUGGGCAUCGCAUUUUGUUUUCUUUUGAAGCUCAGAAAUGUCGUUUUGACAGAAUAAAUAGCUGCAUUUUCAGUAAUUUGUUUUACUGAUAUUCAGUGAAACGAGAAAACCAUGUAUUACUCAAUAGCUUUCAGUAAAAAAUGUAACUGCAGCAAACUUAUAAAAUUUGCAGUGUAUGAUUCGUACACCAAACCCCCCCCCCCCCCCCGUCGAUGGAUUUGGUGAAGGGGCCCCGUCUACCAUAACGCCUAGGGCCUCGGAGAGGCUUGACCCGCCGCUGUGGAAGAAACCCAUAGAAUGAAUGAAACUUAUGUGAUACAGUGACAAUAUGCAGUGGCAAAAUGAUUAAUUGUCGAAUAAAAUCAUUUGUGUUGCAUUUAUGCAUUUAUUCCAUGAAAUAAUAACACCCUUUGUUGUAACUUAACGAAGAUCUAGAAAAUUCGUAUAGAAAGAGAAACAACAAUGCAGCCAUCCCUGUCGAUAUUUUCGUUAAUUUUGAUCUUUUUCGUUGAAAAUACCGGCUAAAUUUUAGAUUUUAACGAAACAUUGACGAAGCCAGGAAAGCGUUACGCAGUGUUUUAAGCCCUGGAAUUACUGCUGUAUGGAAAGCUAAAAGUAAUACUUUUAGGCAUACUUUUAACGGUUUCUUAGCAGGAUUGUGCUACUUGGGAUGAUAGCCUAAUAGUAAUAUUAUAAUUUAUUUAUACUCAUGAAUUAUCAAUGAGUUUUAACUUUAUUAACGAUUGCUGUUCUUUUUUAUGUUUGUUAAAAAAUUGUUGCUUUUCUAAUUAUCAUGUAAAAAUAAAUAAUAUUAAGACAUGAUCAUCUAUUAAUUUGCUUAUCCAAGGCGGCUAAAACAGGCGUUCAAAAAUGUUGCUUGGGUUUGUGAUAAACAGGCGCUACGCGUAACGCUAGCGUAACGUAGAGGGCUGAGCCUUACUUUUACCACGCCAUCUAUUGUUGAAACCCAAAGUCUUUGAAAGAGAACAGGUCGAAGCCAAAGUCCAUAUAAUACAGAGGUCGAUGCAUAGCUCGAUUUUGGUCCACCAUUUUGAAAGCUUAUUUUUGACAGUUAGAUGAAAAAGCGUUCACAAACGAUUCCCCACAACCAAGCACUUUUUAGGACCAAUUGUGCAUUUUCUGCGCAAAACCUAGUGUAACUAUACAUUUCCUUCUCAUGUACGUGGCAUUGAGUAGUUUUCUUUCAGUAAUUCAUCACUUAAAAAAGACCACAAUAAUUAAUCUGGCCUCUUAGUUUUGACCCUCUUGAGCUGCACAAGAUUUCGUCGUAAUUUCGGGCACUGAUCUUGUUGUAAUUGAUAAUUUCACUAUAAUUCUAUCUUUUCUUGAUAUUCGUCAACUUUUUAAGUACAACAUUACAAAGAAACGCUGUAAAAAUGGCCGAAAAUGCUUUCAGACCACUGCAUGCACAACAACUAAAACCUCAAUGUAUGCUACGAUGAAACUAUUGAAGCUUUUUCAUCCAGCUGUCAAAUCUUUCCCACGCUUUUUGAUCAAAUGUUCUGGACGACUCGACCUCUGUAUUAUAUAGACUUUGGGUCGAAGCGUUUAGAGUAAAUUGACAGAAAGCCAUGGGAAAAUUUUGACAGUUAAAUUGAACAUUGUUUAUGUUUAGCGAUGGACGUUGCUAUGGAGUGAAUAAGAGUUUUGUUCAACAUUUUGCACUCAUUUCCUAUUAGAAUUGUUGUAUUGUUUAAAACUUAUUCUCUUUAUUUUAAACGCCACACAUGAAAUUCAACUCUCUAACAAUUAAAUAAGCGUAGCACGCACGUCUGACCCUUAUCGCGGUCCGUAGGAGAGAGCCCCAGUUAGUGUAUCGAUCUCUUGCAUCAUGCAGAAGACCGAUCACCGAUUAUCUCUCCCGAUCGGCACUCAUCCUGUCGGCUUCCAGGGGUAGGCAACCUCUUUUGUCGCACACAACAUCUCCCCAAUUAAUACCGGCGGUAUGGCUCAUUCCACUUUACAUUCUAAGAAUGACCCUAGAGAGAAGUAGAAACCGUACCGUCGUUCUGCUUAAUCAUUUGCUAAUCCUGAACGUAUACGUAUCUAACUGAUGAACAAAGUGACCCAUCGGGGUUACGAUCACUUGCUUACAAUCUUUUUUUUUUUUCA